RNAcentral lists this long non-coding RNA (352 nucleotides) under Pan troglodytes (chimpanzee). Its description in RNAcentral is "long non-coding RNA NONPTRT011699". Lineage: Eukaryota; Metazoa; Chordata; Mammalia; Primates; Hominidae. The record is from RNAcentral.
CAUAUAAAGCCAAGAAAAGCACCUGACACAGAUACUUUGCAACCUACCAAGUAUCAUCACAAGAGCUAUGAAAGUGAAGAGAGACAUACGUUAUCUAAGAAUCUCAGAGAGAUGACUCAGUCAGCAUCCUCUCUUGGUGUACAAUGGUAGGGACAGCUACUGUGUCAUCUGGAGCAUGACAAUGAGAACACAGACACUGGAUCGUCCUGAUAUAGCCUGCAGUCCAUCUGGGCCUCUAGACAUUCAUUUGCAUUUGCAUUCAUGCGCAUCCCCUACUACUCCAACUCCUACACCUUUUGGCAGGAUAUAUCCACACAGCUGGAUUGGAAUCACAAGAUGUUUUUAUUUUUUG